UACGUAGGGUCCGAGCGUUGUCCGGAAUUAUUGGGCGUAAAGAGCUCGUAGGCGGUUUGUCGCGUCUGCUGUGAAAUCCCGAGGCUCAACCUCGGGUCUGCAGUGGGUACGGGCAGACUGGAGUGCGGUAGGGGAGACUGGAAUUCCUGGUGUAGCGGUGAAAUGCGCAGAUAUCAGGAGGAACACCGGUGGCGAAGGCGGGUCUCUGGGCAGUAACUGACGCUGAGGAGCGAAAGCGUGGGGAGCGAACAGG
RNAcentral lists this ribosomal RNA (253 nucleotides) under uncultured bacterium. Its description in RNAcentral is "partial 16S ribosomal RNA". It matches the Rfam family "Bacterial small subunit ribosomal RNA", at positions 524 to 776 of the family's 1533-position model. The record is from RNAcentral.